This 429-nucleotide ribosomal RNA is filed under the name Chloroflexota bacterium. Its description in RNAcentral is "Chloroflexi bacterium partial 16S ribosomal RNA". It matches the Rfam family "Bacterial small subunit ribosomal RNA", at positions 355 to 776 of the family's 1533-position model. The record is from RNAcentral. Lineage: Bacteria; Bacillati; Chloroflexota.
UGGGGAAUAUUGCACAACGGGCGCAAGCCUGAUGCAGCCAUGCCGCGUGUAUGAAGAAGGCCUUCGGGUUGUAAAGUACUUUCAGCGGGGAGGAAGGGAGUAAAGUUAAUACCUUUGCUCAUUGACGUUACCCGCAGAAGAAGCACCGGCUAACUCCGUGCCAGCAGCCGCGGUAAUACGGAGGGUGCAAGCGUUAAUCGGAAUUACUGGGCGUAAAGCGCACGCAGGCGGUUUGUUAAGUCAGAUGUGAAAUCCCCUGGCUCAACCUGGGAACUGACUCUGAUACUGGCAAGCUUGAAUCUCGUAGAGCGGGGUAGAAUUCCAGGUGUAGCGGUGCAAUGCGUAGAGACCUGGAGGAAUACCGGUGGCUAAGGCGGCCCCCUGGACAAAGACUGACGCUCAGGUGCGAAAGCGUGGGGAGCAAACAGG